This 1223-nucleotide ribosomal RNA is filed under the name metagenome. Its description in RNAcentral is "bacterial SSU rRNA". It matches the Rfam family "Bacterial small subunit ribosomal RNA", at positions 278 to 1520 of the family's 1533-position model. The record is from RNAcentral.
GAUCAGUAGCCGGACUGAGAGGUUGACCGGCCACAUUGGGACUGAGAUACGGCCCAGACUCCUACGGGAGGCAGCAGUGGGGAAUAUUGGGCAAUGGGCGCAAGCCUGACCCAGCAACGCCGCGUGAAGGAAGAAGGCUUUCGGGUUGUAAACUUCUUUUAAGUGGGAAGAGCAGAAGACGGUACCACUUGAAUAAGCCACGGCUAACUACGUGCCAGCAGCCGCGGUAAUACGUAGGUGGCAAGCGUUGUCCGGAUUUACUGGGUGUAAAGGGCGUGCAGCCGGGCAUGCAAGUCAGAUGUGAAAUCUCAGGGCUUAACCCUGAAACUGCAUUUGAAACUGUAUGUCUUGAGUGCCGGAGAGGUAAUCGGAAUUCCUUGUGUAGCGGUGAAAUGCGUAGAUAUAAGGAAGAACACCAGUGGCGAAGGCGGAUUACUGGACGGUAACUGACGGUGAGGCGCGAAAGCGUGGAGAGCAAACAGGAUUAGAUACCCUGGUAGUCCACGCUGUAAACGAUGGAUACUAGGUGUGCGGGGACUGACCCCCUGCGUGCCGCAGUUAACACAAUAAGUAUCCCACCUGGGGAGUACGAUCGCAAGGUUGAAACUCAAAGGAAUUGACGGGGGCCCGCACAAGCGGUGGAUUAUGUGGUUUAAUUCGAAGCAACGCGAAGAACCUUACCAGGUCUUGACAUCCUGCUAACGAAGUAGAGAUACAUUAGGUGCCCUUCGGGGAAAGCAGAGACAGGUGGUGCAUGGUUGUCGUCAGCUCGUGUCGUGAGAUGUUGGGUUAAGUCCCGCAACGAGCGCAACCCCUAUUGUUAGUUGCUACGCAAGAGCACUCUAGCGAGACUGCCGUUGACAAAACGGAGGAAGGUGGGGACGACGUCAAAUCAUCAUGCCCCUUAUGACCUGGGCUACACACGUAAUACAAUGGCGGUCAACAAAGGGAUGCGAAGCCGCGAGGCAGAGCGAACCCCAAAAAGCCGUCCCAGUUCGGAUCGCAGGCUGCAACCCGCCUGCGUGAAGUCGGAAUCGCUAGUAAUCGUGGGUCAGCAUACCACGGUGAAUACGUUCCCGGGCCUUGUACACACCGCCCGUCACACCAUGAGAGUCGGGAACACCCGAAGUCCGUAGUCUAACCGCAAGGAGGACGCGGCCGAAGGUGGGUUCGAUAAUUGGGGUGAAGUCGUAACAAGGUAGCCGUUCGAGAACGAGCGGCUG